AAAUAUGAAGUAAAACUUACAAUUAAUUUCGACUUAAUAAUAUGAUUAUAAAAAUAAUCCAUAUUUA
RNAcentral lists this transfer RNA (67 nucleotides) under Abispa ephippium (large potter wasp). RNAcentral's name for it is "tRNA-Arg". Lineage: Eukaryota; Metazoa; Arthropoda; Insecta; Hymenoptera; Vespidae. The record is from RNAcentral.